This 334-nucleotide unclassified non-coding RNA is filed under the name soil metagenome. RNAcentral's name for it is "partial contains 5.8S ribosomal RNA, internal transcribed spacer 2, and large subunit ribosomal RNA". The stretch from base 1 to 120 matches the Rfam family "5.8S ribosomal RNA", at positions 35 to 154 of the family's 154-position model. The record is from RNAcentral.
GAUGAAGAACGUAGCGAAAUGCGAUAAGUAAUGUGAAUUGCAGAAUUCAGUGAAUCAUCGAAUCUUUGAACGCACAUUGCGCCCGCCAGUAUUCUGGCGGGCAUGCCUGUUCGAGCGUCAUUUCAACCAUCAAGCCCUGCUUGCGUUGGGGUCCUGCGGCUGCCCGCAGGCCCUGAAAACCAGUGGCGGGCUCGCUAGUCACACCGAGCGCAGUAAUACAUCUCGCUUUGGGCGUGCGGCGGGUUCUUGCCGUUAAACACCCCCUUUUUACCAAGGUUGACCUCGGAUCAGGUAGGAAUACCCGCUGAACUUAAGCAUAUCAGUAAGCGGAGGA